RNAcentral lists this long non-coding RNA (483 nucleotides) under Homo sapiens (human). RNAcentral's name for it is "long non-coding RNA NONHSAT152607.1". The record is from RNAcentral. Lineage: Eukaryota; Metazoa; Chordata; Mammalia; Primates; Hominidae.
AGGGAAGAAGACAAAAAUAUAUUUGAUUACUGCAGGGAAAACAACAUUGACCAUAUAACCAAAGCCAUCAAAUCGAAAAAUGUGGAUGUGAAUGUGAAAGAUGAAGAGGGUAGGGCUCUACUUCACUGGGCCUGUGAUCGAGGACAUAAGGAACUAGUCACAGUGUUGCUGCAACAUAGAGCUGACAUUAACUGUCAGCCUCUGCCUGUGAGUUUCUGGAUAUUGUAGAGCUGCUGCUCCAGUCUGGUGCUGACCCCACUCUCCGAGACCAGGAUGGCUGCCUGCCAGAGGAGGUGACAGGCUGCAAAACAGUUUCUUUGGUGCUGCAGCGGCACACAACUGGCAAGGCUUAAUCAAAAGACUGGAAAACUGCAGUCUGUAAUAGCAUAAGGCUUCCAUUAUGAAAGAAAACUACAAAAAUAAUACUUCUUUUCCACCCGUCUUUGGUAUGUAUUGGCUAAUAAAAUCAGUUCUGUGGAACUG